This 117-nucleotide small nuclear RNA is filed under the name Echinops telfairi (small Madagascar hedgehog). Its description in RNAcentral is "U5 spliceosomal RNA (ENSETEG00000026093.1)". Lineage: Eukaryota; Metazoa; Chordata; Mammalia; Afrosoricida; Tenrecidae. The record is from RNAcentral.
GUGCACUGGUUCCUCUCCAGAACACACAACUCUUUGGUUUUUUACCAAAGACUUUCGUGGAGAUGGAACUAUUCUGAGUGAUACUUAAUGUUGACUGAAUGAUAGGAGUGCUCAAGA